CAGUCGCCACGGGAAUACAGAGGGUGCGAGCGUUAAUCGGAUUUACUGGGCGUAAAGCGUGCGUAGGCGGCUUUUUAAGUCGGAUGUGAAAUCCCUGAGCUUAACUUAGGAAUUGCAUUCGAUACUGGGAAGCUAGAGUAUGGGAGAGGAUGGUAGAAUUCCAGGUGUAGCGGUGAAAUGCGUAGAGAUCUGGAGGAAUACCGAUGGCGAAGGCAGCCAUCUGGCCUAAUACUGACGCUGAGGUACGAAAGCAUGGGGAGCAAACAGGAUUAGAUACCCCAGUAGUCCUGUCUCUUAUACA
RNAcentral lists this ribosomal RNA (301 nucleotides) under uncultured bacterium. RNAcentral describes it as "partial 16S ribosomal RNA". It matches the Rfam family "Bacterial small subunit ribosomal RNA", at positions 509 to 809 of the family's 1533-position model. The record is from RNAcentral.